GACGAACGCUGGCGGCGUGCUUAACACAUGCAAGUCGAACGCUGAAGCUUGGUGCUUGCACUGGGUGGAUGAGUGGCGAACGGGUGAGUAAUACGUGAGUAACCUGCCCUUGACUCUGGGAUAAGCCCGGGAAACUGGGUCUAAUACUGGAUACGACAUGCCACUGCAUGGUGGUGUGUGGAAAGGGUUUUACUGGUUUUGGAUGGGCUCACGGCCUAUCAGCUUGUUGGUGGGGUAAUGGCCUACCAAGGCGACGACGGGUAGCCGGCCUGAGAGGGUGACCGGCCACACUGGGACUGAGACACGGCCCAGACUCCUACGGGAGGCAGCAGUGGGGAAUAUUGCACAAUGGGCGGAAGCCUGAUGCAGCGACGCCGCGUGAGGGAUGACGGCCUUCGGGUUGUAAACCUCUUUCAGCACGGAAGAAGCGAGAGUGACGGUACGUGCAGAAGAAGCGCCGGCUAACUACGUG
Molecule: ribosomal RNA, 472 nt
Filed under: uncultured bacterium
Lineage: Bacteria
Description: partial 16S ribosomal RNA
Rfam family: Bacterial small subunit ribosomal RNA
Source: RNAcentral